AGCCUGCGCAGUCCUCUCCCUCGCCGCCGGAAUGGCUUUGCUACUGCGCAGGCUAUCGAGAUCUUCACCUUUCGGGAUCGGAAGCGGGGCCCGAGGCCGCCGAUUUCCCGUCGGAGCGACCGUCGCCGUCGCCGGCGGCAUCGCCGCCUACUACUACGGCACCUCUCCGAUCAUUGCGCAACUUGAUUCACAGGGUGAAGAAACGGCUGGGAGAGUUGCACUUAACCCAG
Molecule: unclassified non-coding RNA, 230 nt
Filed under: Hevea brasiliensis (rubber tree)
Lineage: Eukaryota; Viridiplantae; Streptophyta; Magnoliopsida; Malpighiales; Euphorbiaceae
Source: RNAcentral